This 1008-nucleotide long non-coding RNA is filed under the name Phasianus colchicus (ring-necked pheasant). Its description in RNAcentral is "lncRNA (ENSPCLG00000009024.1)". The record is from RNAcentral. Lineage: Eukaryota; Metazoa; Chordata; Aves; Galliformes; Phasianidae.
GGAGUGUAUCCUAUAGAAAUAUGCAAAUGGAAACCAACUCUCCGACAUUCAAGGCACUAAAGACUCCCACAAAAAUAAGCAAAGAAAAACCUCUCCAUAAUCCACAUAUUCACUGUGCAAAUGUGUGUUUCCAGUUGCAGUAAUUGGCAGGGUAGCUUUUCAUGUUAUGUGCAGGGCAGUUAGUGUCUCUGUAAGUGAUAUUCUUGUCUCUAGGCCAGAUCAGGAUCACAAAUAACAUUUUGGAAUUGAUCCUGGUACGUUGUAUUUGAUAUUUAGGUAAAGCUUGCCUGAGAAAAGGCAUUUUUAUCUUCAAUUCUUAUUACUCUACAGACAUAAAUGAUCAGCUGGUAGCAGGGAUGCCUCUGGUCUUUAACAAUAUUUGGGCUUGUGUCCAACAAUGACAUGAAUGCACAAGCUACAGGGUUUGGGUAUAUGCAAUCCUGACUCAAGCAGCUUUCAGAAGGAAGCAAGAAAAGGCAGAGGCACAGCCACUGUGAAUGUUCCUUCUGCAAAAGCGGAAAAACACCACGACAGAAGGAAAUGAUGAGGUGGGAUGGGUAGGCUGCAAAGUGAUGGAAACUCAUUGGACGUGGCUGCUAUUGGGUUUCUUUUUUAAUUCUUCUCUUUCCCUUUCCUUCUUUAGCUGAAAAUGAAGACAUUCUUGGGGUUGGAUGUCUAGACAGAACAGAUUUCAGUUCUCAGCUUGACCAAGUUCUGCACAGUUAUGGCAACAUGAGAAAGAUUGAGUUACGAGCAAGAACGGAUGAAAUCCAGGGCGUUGCCUGCAAGCCAGAAUUUCCUGUACAAACACUAUUGACCAUAUUUUUGGAGAAGCGUGUAAAAACUGUUGAUGUCCACAGUAAUUAUAGUGUGUCAGAAAAAUUAACAUUUGCAAUUCCCCAUAUCCUGAGUGAGAAAGCAGCAGUAAUCAUAUGGACUGAAGUACAGUUAAAAUAAACACAGGCCAUCCAAGAGGAAACUGUUCCUUCUGCUAAGUUUGAGUUUUCU